Molecule: ribosomal RNA, 448 nt
Filed under: uncultured bacterium
Lineage: Bacteria
Description: partial 16S ribosomal RNA
Rfam family: Bacterial small subunit ribosomal RNA
Source: RNAcentral
CGUGCUUAACACAUGCAAGUCGAACGAUGAAGCCGGAGCUUGCUCUGGUGAAUUAGUGGCGAACGGGUGAGUAACGCGUGGGAACGUGCCCUUCAGUUCGGGAUAACCCAGGGAAACUUGGGCUAAUACCGGAUACGUGCGAGAGCAGAAAGAUUUAUCGCUGAAGGAUCGGCCCGCGUCUGAUUAGCUAGUUGGUGGGGUAAUGGCCCACCAAGGCGACGAUCAGUAGCUGGUCUGAGAGGAUGAUCAGCCACAUUGGGACUGAGACACGGCCCAAACUCCUACGGGAGGCAGCAGUGGGGAAUAUUGGACAAUGGGCGCAAGCCUGAUCCAGCCAUGCCGCGUGAGUGAUGAAGGCCUUAGGGUUGUAAAGCUCUUUCGUCCGGGACGAUAAUGACGGUACCGGAGGAAGAAGCCCCGGCUAACUUCGUGCCAGCAGCCGCCGUAA